RNAcentral lists this ribosomal RNA (253 nucleotides) under uncultured bacterium. Its description in RNAcentral is "partial 16S ribosomal RNA". It matches the Rfam family "Bacterial small subunit ribosomal RNA", at positions 524 to 776 of the family's 1533-position model. The record is from RNAcentral.
UACGUAGGGGGCUAGCGUUGUCCGGAAUCAUUGGGCGUAAAGCGCGUGUAGGCGGCCCGGUAAGUCCGCUGUGAAAGUCCAGGGCUCAACCCUGGGAUGCCGGUGGAUACUGUCGGGCUCGAGUCCGGAAGAGGCGAGUGGAAUUCCUGGUGUAGCGGUGAAAUGCGCAGAUAUCAGGAGGAACACCAAUGGCGAAGGCAGCUCGCUGGGACGUGACUGACGCUGAGACACGAAAGCCAGGGGAGCGAACGGG